UUCAUCGCUUUGAAGGGAAAUAGUAAAGCCCCCUUUCUGCUCCAGAGAACGCGAUCCAUUGGCUGGAAGAUCGCGUGCAUGAAACAGCUUGAACCCAUCCCAGAGCGGCUAGGGAUGACCUAGACAGGAUUCUUUCCCCUGUUAUCAAGGAAAGCGCUUAUCGGCCAUGUAUGGCUUUCUUAAGUGUAAAGAUAGAUGUCGAUCCAUGUAAGGGUUGGUUCGGCAUUUAAUUAAGGUGGUACCGCGAAAGUAAACCUUUCGUCCUUAUG
RNAcentral lists this non-coding RNA (269 nucleotides) under Brevibacillus laterosporus. Its description in RNAcentral is "T-box sequence". It matches the Rfam family "T-box leader". From Rfam's summary of the family: Uncharged tRNA acts as the effector for transcription antitermination of genes in the T-box leader family. T-boxes are found upstream of many aminoacyl-tRNA synthetase genes and some amino acid biosynthetic genes usually in Gram-positive bacteria. Lineage: Bacteria; Bacillati; Bacillota; Bacilli; Caryophanales; Paenibacillaceae. The record is from RNAcentral.